Molecule: ribosomal RNA, 250 nt
Filed under: uncultured bacterium
Lineage: Bacteria
Description: partial 16S ribosomal RNA
Rfam family: Bacterial small subunit ribosomal RNA
Source: RNAcentral
UACGUAGGGUGCGAGCGUUAAUCGGAAUUACUGGGCGUAAAGCGUGCGCAGGCGGCGCGUUAAGACAGGUGUGAAAGCCCCGAGCUUAACUUGGGAAUUGCGCUUGUGACUGGCGUGCUGGAGUGUGGCAGAGGGAGGUGGAAUUCCACGUGUAGCAGUGAAAUGCGUAGAGAUGUGGAGGAACACCGAUGGCGAAGGCAGCCUCCUGGGCCAGCACUGACGCUCAUGCACGAAAGCGUGGGGAGCAAAC